GACGAACGCUGGCGGCGUGCCUAAUACAUGCCAGUCGAACGCUGAAGGAGGAGCUUGCUUCUCUGGAUGAGUUGCGAACGGGUGAGUAACGCGUAGGUAACCUGCCUGGUAGCGGGGGAUAACUAUUGGAAACGAUAGCUAAUACCGCAUAAUAGUAGAUGUUGCAUGACAUUUGCUUAAAAGGUGCAAUUGCAUCACUACCAGAUGGACCUGCGUUGUAUUAGCUAGUUGGUGAGGUAACGGCUCACCAAGGCAACGAUACAUAGCCGACCUGAGAGGGUGAUCGGCCACACUGGGACUGAGACACGGCCCAGACUCCUACGGGAGGCAGCAGUAGGGAAUCUUCGGCAAUGGACGGAAGUCUGACCGAGCAACGCCGCGUGAGUGAAGAAGGUUUUCGGAUCGUAAAGCUCUGUUGUAAGAGAAGAACGAGUGUGAGAGUGGAAAGUUCACACUGUGACGGUAUCUUACCAGAAAGGGACGGCUAACUACGUG
This 495-nucleotide ribosomal RNA is filed under the name uncultured bacterium. RNAcentral describes it as "partial 16S ribosomal RNA". It matches the Rfam family "Bacterial small subunit ribosomal RNA", at positions 28 to 507 of the family's 1533-position model. The record is from RNAcentral.